This is a long non-coding RNA of Phlebotomus papatasi, 974 nucleotides long. RefSeq lists it as uncharacterized. The transcript has 2 exons. The record is from RefSeq and is a predicted model, not a curated record. NCBI's taxonomy places the organism in Eukaryota, Metazoa, Arthropoda, Insecta, Diptera, Psychodidae.
UCUUCUGGAGAAAAGAGAUUGUAGAUUAGAUAGAAUACGUGCUAUAUUGAAAGAAAUUAACAGAUCCCUUUUGGAUAUUGCAUCGGCAUAUAGGAUGAGAAUAUUCACGAGGAUAAAGUCAGAUGGUAAAGAAGAGUGUUGAAAUGCGUAAACUUAAUGAGCAUCCUGAGCAGAAGUAAGUGAUCUCUCAGCUCAAGUCUUUGAUGAGGAGUACUCUCUGAUUGGUAGUGCAAGUGAUAUCUUCAGUUACGAACUGGUGAUCUAUCUACGAAACUGGUGCUUUGUUGGUGCUUUUGCAUAUCUUCGCAAUGGAUCUCAAGAUUAGUGAAUUUGGUAUGCGAGUGGGAUAUCACCCUACUGACGGAAACCAUUGAGCUCUCCGUGGAAUAUAAUGAUUUCGUUGGAAUUUCCUGCAUGCACUGUUGACCCUCCGCAAGAUCGCCGAACAACACAGUUUAUCCAAAAAAUGCAUUAUAUUUAUGUCGUGAUUCCAAACUUCUGCACUGUUUUGAGGAACUUGGGGGGCUCGGUAACAGUUUAAGGACUGUUUGGGUCUGUCAUUUUAUAUGAUAAAUUUGUAGAGCAACCGAUAAGUCAAGAGCUUCAUCAUCAUCUCUAUAAUCUUCGCCCUUGUCUCCUCUGUGACACCUCGUCUUCUUCAUUGCUCUCUUAGACCACUACUUCAUCUUGUCGACUAACCUCUUCAACUAUCGCAUCUUCAGUACUUGCCUCCUGCAUCAUUUCGGGAUUGGUUUGCGAAUUAUCGCAUCUUGCGGAACGAUUUUUGCAAAAGAAUCUGUGGAAGAGAUUAACAAGGAAGCGGUAUUCCAAAGGCUGAAGCGUCCUUAAUUCUCAGCCUGCCUUGGAGAAUUUCCUGAAGAGGUGUCAGCAUGAUUGCCUCAUCGGUAGUGCUGCGUUUUCUGCCUUUUGUUUGUUUUUCUCCAUUUCUGCAUAAAUAAAUGAAAUAGAAUGUU